This is a long non-coding RNA of Panthera uncia (snow leopard), 2400 nucleotides long. RefSeq lists it as uncharacterized. The transcript is spliced from 6 exons. NCBI's taxonomy places the organism in Eukaryota, Metazoa, Chordata, Mammalia, Carnivora, Felidae. The record is from RefSeq and is a predicted model, not a curated record.
CACGCGAGUGGCCUGGAACGACCGGGGGCGGGACUAAGGGGCGGUGUGGGGAACCUUGCGUCCCGCGCCGCCGGCUCCCUCCGCCCCGCGGCUCGAAAACGCCCAGAAACAUGGAACUGUGGAAAAAAUCAGCCAUUCCCUUCCAGCCUGUGGAUUGCAGUACGCGAACCUGGGGAAAUGAGGUGGGACUCAUGCAAUCAACUGAAGACGUGAAUAGAAUAAAAAGAUUGAAUAAGAGGGAACGUCUCCUGCCUGACCCUUUGAAUCAGAGCAUCCGUCUCUUCCUAUCCUCUGACUGGAACUUAGAUGAGUUCUCCUGGUUCCCCAGCUUGCCAGCUGCAGAUCUUGGGAUUUCUCAGCCUCCAUAAUCAGGUAAGAAGCUUUGUAAGGUGACCAGUAUGCCAUUGAGUCCUGUCUGUGAUACACAGCUUCAUUCAUUUUACUUUAUGAGGACGUCAUCGGUCAGUUGUUGCAAAAUUCCGAGGAGGCAGAAAGGCUGCUUGAUUGAGACUCAUUUCCCCUGGCUGUGGACUGACUUUAUUAUCCACAAUUAAUGGUGAGUAACUCGAUAGAUGGUAUCCCUUUGUAAGCAUGAAUUUCUAACCAAAGAACAUCUUUCAGCUCCGAUCAUUGUUCAAUUGAAUGUUGCCAUGGGACUACAGCUAUUUAUUCCCGCACAGUGUUUUUCCAGAGAACUGUGAUGUGGCUCUGGUGACAGAGUGUAUGUUUCAUAGCUAUGCAAUCCUUUUCUUUUUUCCUCUCUCUCUCUUAUUUAACAAAGAGAAACAAAAGACCCUCACCAUAUGUGUAACAUUUCCCAUGAAUACGUUAGAAUGUCAGAAGGGAGACCGAUGCCGGAAGAUCCUGGCAGGGUAGAGGCCCCUCCUGACCGUUUCAUUUCUGUUUUCAUCUGGUGAUGUGCUAGAAAGUAGAUUUGACAUGAAGAACCGAAGAUCAUCCAGAAAUUGCUGAACACCCCGAUCGUGUGCAUCAGCGGUUCCAAACAGAUACAUCCUGGAAUAAUAAGCCCAUGGGUUUUAGAGUAAAUAUGUUCCCUUUCUCCUCCUCAGUCAGGACCCUGGUGCCUGUCUAUUUCACAAUACAGAUGUGCGUAGGGAACAGCUGUUGGGUUUGCCUGCCUUUUAUUCAUCCCGUCUUUUUCAGCUAAAACACUUCAGUUUUCUUUUGGGGAUCCACCCCUCUCCGGGGGUGACAGUCAAAGUGUAUAACAACUGGAAUGACAUGGGUAUUACCACACCCACACAAUCGGAACACAUGCUGACUGUGACACCUGCUGAACCCAGAUACGCUCAUCAGAUACUGUUUUGAUGAGUCCUGACAUCAAGAUGCCCUGACCUUCCUUCUCUAAGGGCCAAGCAUGGACCGAGCUAAGCCAAACAGACCCUCUGCCCUGAGAAUUUGCAUGCUGACAGGCAACACACACAAGGGCCGAAAACAUGUGGCACAGAUUCCAGCGGGAAAAGAUGUCAACUGAGAUCAAAAUGACAGAUGGCACACAUACUCCCAGAAUCUCCUACUACAAACCCAACAAAUCCAGUACACAGCCAACUCUCUUCCCCAGGUCUCCGUCAUCUCCAAAGUCAUAAUGGAAAUUAGGAUAACGCCAGAUGAGGUCACUGCAAGAAGGCAACUGUUUGCAAGCCAGGAAGAGACCUAUUGCCAGAAACCAACCUGACGGCACCUUGAUCUUGAACUUCUAGUCUCCAGAACUGUAAGAAAAUUAAUUGCUUUAAUUUAUUCUAAAUUACAAUAAAUGUUUAGGGGCACCUGGGUGGUUCAGUCAGUUAAGUGCACGACUUUAGCUCAGGUCAUGAUUUCGCGGGUCGGGUCGUAGGUCUGAGCCCCUCGUCGGGCUCUGUGCUGACAGCUCGGAGCCUGGAACCUGCUUUGGAUUCUGUGUCUCCCUCUCGCUCACUGCCCCUCCCCCGCUUGCAUUCUCUCUCUUUCUCUCUCUCUCUCAAAAAUAAACAUAAAAAUUUUUUUUUAAUUUUUUUUUCUUAAUGUUUUUUAUUUAUUUUUGAGACAGAGAGAGACAGAGCAUGAGCAGAGAAGGGGCAGAGAGAUAGGGAGACAGAAUCGGAAGCAGGCUCCAGGCUCUGAGCCAUCAGCACAGAGCCCGAUGCGGGGCUCGAACUCACAGACCAUGAGAUCAUGACCUGAGCUGAAGUCGGACACUCAACCGACUGAGCCACCCAGGCGCCCCAACAUAAAAUUAAAAAAAAAAAAAAAAAAAAUAUAUAUAUAUAUAUGUUUAAGCUACCCAGUGUAUAGUACCCUGUUACAGCAGGCCUGAGAUAAUACAAGGGCAAUUAAGCACAGAGAUGUUAACUAAACUUCCUCAAGGUCACACAGCUGGUAAGGAACAGAGGCAAGAUUUGA